GAUGAACGCUGGCGGCGUGCCUAAUACAUGCAAGUCGAGCGAACAGACGAGGAGCUUGCUCCUCUGACGUUAGCGGCGGACGGGUGAGUAACACGUGGAUAACCUACCUAUAAGACUGGGAUAACUUCGGGAAACCGGAGCUAAUACCGGAUAAUAUAUUGAACCGCAUGGUUCAAUAGUGAAAGACGGUUUUGCUGUCACUUAUAGAUGGAUCCGCGCCGCAUUAGCUAGUUGGUAAGGUAACGGCUUACCAAGGCAACGAUGCGUAGCCGACCUGAGAGGGUGAUCGGCCACACUGGAACUGAGACACGGUCCAGACUCCUACGGGAGGCAGCAGUAGGGAAUCUGCCGCAAUGAGCGAAAGCCUGACGGAGCAACGCCGCGUGAGUGAUGAAGGUCUUCGGAUCGUAAAACUCUGUUAUUAGGGAAGAACAAAUGUGUAAGUAACUAUGCACGUCUUGACGGUACCUAAUCAGAAAGCCACGGCUAACUACGUG
RNAcentral lists this ribosomal RNA (497 nucleotides) under uncultured bacterium. Its description in RNAcentral is "partial 16S ribosomal RNA". It matches the Rfam family "Bacterial small subunit ribosomal RNA", at positions 28 to 507 of the family's 1533-position model. The record is from RNAcentral.